This is a non-coding RNA of Triticum urartu, 115 nucleotides long. NCBI's taxonomy places the organism in Eukaryota, Viridiplantae, Streptophyta, Magnoliopsida, Poales, Poaceae. The record is from Rfam.
CUACUACUCCCUCCGUUCGGAAUUACUUGUCGCAGAAAUGGAUGUAUCUAGACGUAUUUUAGUUCUAGAUACAUCCAUUUCCAAGACAAGUAAUUCCGAACGGAAGGAGUAUGGA